GGGGAUUUAGCUCAGUGGUAGAACGCUUGCCUAGCAAGCAUAAGGCCCUGGGUUCGGUCCCCAGCUCCG
Molecule: transfer RNA, 69 nt
Filed under: Rattus norvegicus (Norway rat)
Lineage: Eukaryota; Metazoa; Chordata; Mammalia; Rodentia; Muridae
Rfam family: tRNA
About the family: Transfer RNA (tRNA) molecules are approximately 80 nucleotides in length. Their secondary structure includes four short double-helical elements and three loops (D, anti-codon, and T loops).
Source: Rfam by way of RNAcentral